GAUGAACGCUAGCGGGAGGCUUAACACAUGCAAGUCGAGGGGUAUAGUAGCAAUACUAGAGACCGGCGGACGGGUGCGUAACGCGUAUGCAACUUGCCUUAUACAGGGGGAUAGCCCGUGGAAACGCGGAUUAAUACCCCAUAUGUCAUUUGGGUCGCAUGGUCUGGAUGAUAAAACUGAGGUGGUAUAAGAUGGGCAUGCGUCUGAUUAGCUUGUUGGUAAGGUAACGGCUUACCAAGGCGACGAUCAGUAGCCGACCUGAGAGGGUAAUCGGCCACAUUGGAACUGAGACACGGUCCAAACUCCUACGGGUGGCUG
RNAcentral lists this ribosomal RNA (318 nucleotides) under uncultured Bacteroidota bacterium. RNAcentral describes it as "bacterial SSU rRNA". It matches the Rfam family "Bacterial small subunit ribosomal RNA", at positions 28 to 351 of the family's 1533-position model. The record is from RNAcentral. Lineage: Bacteria; Pseudomonadati; Bacteroidota.